GGGCGGAUAGCUCAGUUGGGAGAGCGCGGUCCUUACAAGGCUGAGGUCACAGGUUCAAUCCCUGUUCCGCCUACCA
RNAcentral lists this transfer RNA (76 nucleotides) under Nitrospirota bacterium. Its description in RNAcentral is "tRNA-Val". It matches the Rfam family "tRNA". Rfam says of the family: Transfer RNA (tRNA) molecules are approximately 80 nucleotides in length. Their secondary structure includes four short double-helical elements and three loops (D, anti-codon, and T loops). Lineage: Bacteria; Pseudomonadati; Nitrospirota. The record is from RNAcentral.